This 377-nucleotide RNase P RNA is filed under the name Clostridium sartagoforme. Its description in RNAcentral is "Bacterial RNase P class A". It matches the Rfam family "Bacterial RNase P class A". Rfam says of the family: Ribonuclease P (RNase P) is a ubiquitous endoribonuclease, found in archaea, bacteria and eukarya as well as chloroplasts and mitochondria. Its best characterised activity is the generation of mature 5'-ends of tRNAs by cleaving the 5'-leader elements of precursor-tRNAs. The record is from Rfam by way of RNAcentral. Lineage: Bacteria; Bacillati; Bacillota; Clostridia; Eubacteriales; Clostridiaceae.
CGAGUAAGACAUGCAAUCGCUGCUAGACUAGAUCUAGGAGAGGAAAGUCGGAGCUCCAUAGGGCAGGGUGCUGGAUAACGUCCAGUCAAGGCGACUUGAAGGAAAGUGCAACAGAGAGAUACCGCCUAAGGUUAAUUACUAACAAGAUUUUUAGUUUUGCUAGUAACUUAGGUAAGGGUGGAAAGGCGAGGUAAGAGCUCACCAGCAUCAUGGUGACAUGAUGGCUAUGUAAACCCCACCUGGAGCAAGGUCGAAUAGGGAAACAUAAUGGAGUAGCCCGCUCCGUUUCCGGGUGUACCGCUUGAGCUCAUUGGCAACAAUGGGCCUAGAUAGAUGAUUGCUUAAUACAGAACUCCGCUUACGGCUUAUCUCGUAAC